RNAcentral lists this ribosomal RNA (1611 nucleotides) under Salmonella enterica subsp. enterica serovar Pullorum. Its description in RNAcentral is "partial 23S ribosomal RNA". It matches the Rfam family "Bacterial large subunit ribosomal RNA", at positions 1336 to 2925 of the family's 2925-position model. Lineage: Bacteria; Pseudomonadati; Pseudomonadota; Gammaproteobacteria; Enterobacterales; Enterobacteriaceae. The record is from RNAcentral.
GCCGGAAGACCAAGGGUUCCUGUCCAACGUUAAUCGGGGCAGGGUGAGUCGACCCCUAAGGCGAGGCCGAAAGGCGUAGUCGAUGGGAAACGGGUUAAUAUUCCCGUACUUGGUGUUACUGCGAAGGGGGGACGGAGAAGGCUAUGUUGGCCGGGCGACGGUUGUCCCGGUUUAAGCGUGUAGGUGUGUGUUCCAGGUAAAUCCGGUUCACUUUAACACUGAGGCGUGAUGACGAGGCACUACGGUGCUGAAGUAACAAAUGCCCUGCUUCCAGGAAAAGCCUCUAAGCAUCAGGUAACAUCAAAUCGUACCCCAAACCGACACAGGUGGUCAGGUAGAGAAUACCAAGGCGCUUGAGAGAACUCGGGUGAAGGAACUAGGCAAAAUGGUGCCGUAACUUCGGGAGAAGGCACGCUGACACGUAGGUGAAGUGAUUUACUCACGGAGCUGAAGUCAGUCGAAGAUACCAGCUGGCUGCAACUGUUUAUUAAAAACACAGCACUGUGCAAACACGAAAGUGGACGUAUACGGUGUGACGCCUGCCCGGUGCCGGAAGGUUAAUUGAUGGGGUCAGCGCAAGCGAAGCUCCUGAUCGAAGCCCCGGUAAACGGCGGCCGUAACUAUAACGGUCCUAAGGUAGCGAAAUUCCUUGUCGGGUAAGUUCCGACCUGCACGAAUGGCGUAAUGAUGGCCAGGCUGUCUCCACCCGAGACUCAGUGAAAUUGAACUCGCUGUGAAGAUGCAGUGUACCCGCGGCAAGACGGAAAGACCCCGUGAACCUUUACUAUAGCUUGACACUGAACAUUGAGCCUUGAUGUGUAGGAUAGGUGGGAGGCUUUGAAGUGUGGACGCCAGUCUGCAUGGAGCCGACCUUGAAAUACCACCCUUUAAUGUUUGAUGUUCUAACGUGGACCCGUUACCCGGGUUGCGGACAGUGUCUGGUGGGUAGUUUGACUGGGGCGGUCUCCUCCUAAAGAGUAACGGAGGAGCACGAAGGUUGGCUAAUCCUGGUCGGACAUCAGGAGGUUAGUGCAAUGGCAUAAGCCAGCUUGACUGCGAGCGUGACGGCGCGAGCAGGUGCGAAAGCAGGUCAUAGUGAUCCGGUGGUUCUGAAUGGAAGGGCCAUCGCUCAACGGAUAAAAGGUACUCCGGGGAUAACAGGCUGAUACCGCCCAAGAGUUCAUAUCGACGGCGGUGUUUGGCACCUCGAUGUCGGCUCAUCACAUCCUGGGGCUGAAGCAGGUCCCAAGGGUAUGGCUGUUCGCCAUUUAAAGUGGUACGCGAGCUGGGUUUAGAACGUCGUGAGACAGUUCGGUCCCUAUCUGCCGUGGGCGCUGGAGAACUGAGGGGGGCUGCUCCUAGUACGAGAGGACCGGAGUGGACGCAUCACUGGUGUUCGGGUUGUCAUGCCAAUGGCACUGCCCGGUAGCUAAAUGCGGAAGAGAUAAGUGCUGAAAGCAUCUAAGCACGAAACUUGCCCCGAGAUGAGUUCUCCCUGAGACUUAGAGUCUCCUGAAGGAACGUUGAAGACGACGACGUUGAUAGGCCGGGUGUGUAAGCGCAGCGAUGCGUUGAGCUAACCGGUACUAAUGAACCGUGAGGCUUAACCUU